AUUGAACGCUGGCGGCAAGCCUAACACAUGCAAGUCGAACGAGUGGCGGACGGGUGAGUAAUGUCUGGGAAACUGCCUGAUGGAGGGGGAUAACUACUGGACACGGUAGCUAAUACCGCAUACCAUCGGAUGUGCCCAGAGGGGAUUAGCUAGUAGGUGGGGUAAAGGAUCACCUAGGCGACGAUCCCUAGCUGGUCUGAGAGGAUGACCAGCCACACUGGAACUGAAACACGGUCCAGACACCUACGGUAGGCAGCAGUGGGGAAUAUUGCACAAGUGGCGCAAGCCUGAUGCAGCCAUGCCGCGGGUAUGAAGAAGGCCUUCGGGUUGUAAAGUACUUUCAGCGGGGAGGCGGUACCCGCAGAAGAAGCACCGGCUAACUCCGUGCCAGCAGCCGCGGUAAUUG
RNAcentral lists this ribosomal RNA (406 nucleotides) under uncultured bacterium. RNAcentral describes it as "partial 16S ribosomal RNA". It matches the Rfam family "Bacterial small subunit ribosomal RNA", at positions 30 to 527 of the family's 1533-position model. The record is from RNAcentral.